UAGACAGCUUUGGCGCCGUUUGUGUUCUGC
Molecule: non-coding RNA, 30 nt
Filed under: Homo sapiens (human)
Lineage: Eukaryota; Metazoa; Chordata; Mammalia; Primates; Hominidae
Source: RNAcentral